This 217-nucleotide long non-coding RNA is filed under the name Elaeis guineensis (African oil palm). RNAcentral describes it as "long non-coding RNA (EGUI_LNC075174)". Lineage: Eukaryota; Viridiplantae; Streptophyta; Magnoliopsida; Arecales; Arecaceae. The record is from RNAcentral.
UGGACUCCUACGGGAGCCAGACUUCAUCCCCGACUUCAACCGCAAGGAGACUCCGUCCGGACUCCUACGGGAGCUGGACUUCGCCCCCGACUUCGAUUGCAGAUAGACUCCGUCCGGACUCCUACGGGAGCCGGACUUCACCUCCGACUUUGAUUGCAGGUAGACUCCAUCUGGACUCCUACGGGAGCCAGACUUCAUCCCCGACUUUGAUUGCAGG